UGUAUAAAUACAUACAUUUUGUAUUUACAUAAUCCAUCUAUAUAUUAAGAAUGCUCAAGGAGACAAGUGCGAGGAGACAAGUGGUGGCUCUCCUUCACCGCAUGCUCCCCACUUCGUCUUCAUCAAAAAAACUUCACAUUAUCUGGAGAAAACAGGACCUUAAUAGAACUAAUAACUUGCUGUUUCGGGAUGUUAACGUGUUGUGUCGAUACGUUCCGUAUGCCGCCUCCUAGACUCAGAGCAUUCUUCUGCAUUCUUCUUCUCAAGUGAAUGGGAGAGCAGGCGGUAGUCGCUAUGCGUUGCAGAAUGCUGGUGCCGUGAAAAGUGGGUGCAACUCUAGCUCUUGCCGUGGUGUUGGAAGCUAAUCCAGUGCACACCUCAGGGGGUAAACCGUCGUAGGCAGAAGCCACACCUGAGGAGGUGAAACACAAGUGGUGCAGCUCCAGCUCUUGCCGAGAUGUCCAGUGCACAUCUCACCCGUAGGCAGAAGCCUUACUUGGGUAAAACACAAUUACGCCUGAGGAGGUAAAAUUUCAAGUCGAGCAAGUUUUUUAGUUUCUAUUUUUAGUUUUUUAGUUUCUAAUUUUGUUCGUGCCUUCCAUUGUAGGUUUUGUCAGAUGAUGAGAAGAGGCCAUUGGAUAUGAUCAGUAUUAAGUUUUGGGCCAUUACUUUAGAGCAAGCAAAUGAAUUCAUUUGCAAUAUUUUUGUGGCAAUCAAUCAAAUGAAUUUAUUUGCAAUAUUUUUAUGACAAUCAAAGUUAACUUUAUGAGAUUUUUUAUA
This is an RNA transcript of Physcomitrium patens, 780 nucleotides long. RefSeq lists it as uncharacterized. The record is from RefSeq and is a predicted model, not a curated record. Lineage: Eukaryota; Viridiplantae; Streptophyta; Bryopsida; Funariales; Funariaceae.